This 311-nucleotide long non-coding RNA is filed under the name Musa acuminata (dwarf banana). RNAcentral describes it as "long non-coding RNA (MACU_LNC007185)". The record is from RNAcentral. Lineage: Eukaryota; Viridiplantae; Streptophyta; Magnoliopsida; Zingiberales; Musaceae.
UAAUGGAGAUAAGAGUAUUUUGAAGAGUAAAGGAGUUAGAAUAAAAUCAGAUAACUAGCUUGUUGAAGAUGUAUUAUCGGUCAUAUCAAAAAGUAAAGAAAAAAAAAAACGAAGCAACUUAUAAGAAAGAUAAGCUUGUUUGAGCAUAAAACCAAAUAGAAAUUAUAAUGCUAGUUUGAACGAUAAUCGAAAAGAAGAUACAAAACAAUAAUAGCAAGAGAGAGGAUCAAAGGAAAAAAAAAAAAAGUUCAUUGGAGCAAAUAUUGCUGUGAUAUCAUGAAAGAAAUGACUAGCUUGAAUUUUUAUUGAUA